UGGCGAACGGGUGAGUAACACGUGAGUAACCUGCCCUUAACUCUGGGAUAAGCCUUGGAAACGGGGUCUAAUACUGGAUAUUGACUUUUCCUCGCAUGGGGAUUGGUUGAAAGAUUUAUUGGUUUUGGAUGGACUCGCGGCCUAUCAGCUUGUUGGUGAGGUAAUGGCUCACCAAGGCGACGACGGGUAGCCGGCCUGAGAGGGUGACCGGCCACACUGGGACUGAGACACGGCCCAGACUCCUACGGGAGGCAGCAGUGGGGAAUAUUGCACAAUGGGCGAAAGCCUGAUGCAGCGACGCCGCGUGAGGGAUGACGGCCUUCGGGUUGUAAACCUCUUUCAGUAGGGAACAAGGCCAGUGUUUAGCUGGUUGAGGGUACUUGCAGAAGAAGCGCCGGCUAACUACGUGCCAGCAGCCGCGGUAAUACGUAGGGCGCAAGCGUUAUCCGGAAUUAUUGGGCGUAAAGAGCUCGUAGGCGGUUUGUCGCGUCUGCCGUGAAAGUCCGGGGCUCAACCCCGGAUCUGCGGUGGGUACGGGCAGACUAGAGUGAUGUAGGGGAGACUGGAAUUCCUGGUGUAGCGGUGAAAUGCGCAGAUAUCANGAGGAACACCGAUGGCGAANGCAGGUCUCUGGGCAUUAACUGACGCUGANGAGCGAAAGCAUGGGGAGCGAACAGGAUUAGAUACCCUGGUAGUCCAUGCCGUAAACGUUGGGCACUANGUGUGGGGGACAUUCCACGUUUUCCGCGCCGUAGCUAACGCAUUAAGUGCCCCGCCUGGGGAGUAC
This 787-nucleotide ribosomal RNA is filed under the name Arthrobacter sp. MIDF08. RNAcentral's name for it is "bacterial SSU rRNA". It matches the Rfam family "Bacterial small subunit ribosomal RNA", at positions 96 to 883 of the family's 1533-position model. The record is from RNAcentral. Lineage: Bacteria; Bacillati; Actinomycetota; Actinomycetes; Micrococcales; Micrococcaceae.